Molecule: long non-coding RNA, 1984 nt
Filed under: Oncorhynchus kisutch (coho salmon)
Lineage: Eukaryota; Metazoa; Chordata; Actinopteri; Salmoniformes; Salmonidae
Description: lncRNA (ENSOKIG00005036579.1)
Source: RNAcentral
UGAAAUGGAAGUUAUGGAACUCCUUGUACUUGUGUUAUGGGAAAAAGUUGACAAUGAAAAUGACAUUAAAUGUGGAGAAUGAUAGGCUACAUUUGCAUCUGUUGGCCAUCAAGUAGUUGAUAUGUCAUUGUAGGCUACUGUAGCCUACCAUUUAAUACAAUAAGUACAGUAUGUUGAAAUGACGAUAAGCCCAAAGGGGGCGCUUACAGUAAUCAACUGAAAUUCCAAUCUUUGAACGAGCAUAUCUCCUGUCCGGUUGGUGUUUGAAUUGUUAUCACUAAUUGGCCCAAAUGGGGGCACUGCACCAUUUGUGGGGGACAACAUGUUUACUGUUGACUUGUAUUGGAUUUUGGUUGUAUUUGACAAAUCGAGAGUUUGGGAGACUUCAAGGAUCUAAUAAAGUUAGUUAAAGUUCCUUGUCUCUUCCGCUCUGGAAGUUAAUCGUCUACCUACCAUAAAUACAAUACCAAAAGUUUUGCGCACUAACGCUUGGUAGUCUUAGGGCGAUGUUUUCAAGCACAACAGACGUACGUCUAGAACCCGCUGAAAUUCAAAGUUUAAAGUAGGAAAGGCAUCGAAUAAACAAAGUCGUUUGAAUCUUCACUGCAAUUUAUGCCCAGUCGUGACUUGUUUGCCACACACUGACAUUUCUGUUAAGGAGCAUGGAUAGGAAACAUCGAAGUGGGUUGUCGACAACUUUGAAGACACAUAGAGGUCCUCUGUCUGACACAAAGGACAAUGUCCCCUCGUCAGAGGUCAAUGAUGUUCAGAAGAGGCGUCGCCUGAAGUUGUUGGGCGAGGAGAACGUCAGUCCUAACAAGAGUUCUUCAUCAAGAGACCACCUCUGCUGUGCAGAGCUGGAGGUGAAGCCAGACACCCCGCUCUCUGCUCUGUCCGCUCCAGAGUACAGCAACUAACCCAGAGAAGUGAGGGAGGCCCUCUACUGGCUCCGAGACCAUCCAUUAUAAUCCAGGAAGGGUUCAAAAAGCACAUUCUUAUUGGUGAGGCAGAAUUCAGCUCACGGGUGGAGCGGUUUAACGCCCCCACCACCUGUCCAGCCAGCCCUCUGCCAGGAAACUGGUGCCCCCGUACCCUCUCCAACGCCGUUACCAACUUACAGCUUAAACUUGAGGACAGUGAAACACCCAGCUCCAAGCAAGUCUCCUGCAUACGCCAGGAAAGGGAGGAGGAGCUGCGACUCUUAAGGGCCCAGCCAAUUGCAAAGAAUGUCUUUCUAAAUCAAAGAUUCUCUGAUUCCUCACUGACUGAGCAGGCAGACCUCAAUGUGACUGGUGAUGAACCUCUCUGGGUGAAGGACGGCAGCUUUACCGAGACUUCUGUCACUGCUAAGAUCCAUGGAGUGGAGCCUCCAAUCCAAGACAUUGAGGCUGAGCUGAGCUCUCAAGAUGAAACCAACACUGCUGAGAUGAUUGACCUGAUGUUUAAGGACAUGCUGGAGGCUUCUGCCCAGGGAAGGGAGAAGGAGGGCAAUGAGGAUUAUGACAGUGCCAUAGCCACAGUGAUGCGCAGAAAGGAGAAAACAGAGUUGGACAAGGAGAAAGCUGAGGAGGGUGAAGACCUGGAAGAGAUCAGGGAACUGGACUCCAGUGUAGAUGAGCUGCUGACCCUCCCACCCAGCUGCAUCCUCUCUCCUCUCAGCAGGUCUGUGGAAGCUGUGGUCACUCCAAUGAGACUUGCAGCUAGUCAGCCAGCCACCCCACCAUCCCUACCUCUGACUCCUGAAGAGCUGACCACUCCCCCUGCCGACAGUGCCCCUCUCUACAACAUCGAUGCUUACCGUACCCAGAGGCAGAGCACCAAGCCAGCUAUUCAGAGUGUAACCCCAGGGUUGCAGAGGCGUGCCGCUGAGAAGUCCCACCCCCAGAAAACUGUCAACACCAAGGACAGGAUCAUGGUUCUGAAUGAGGAGGCUGCCAAGCUACAGACGGUCAUCAAUCAGACGUUGCAGGCCCUGCUGCACUGA